This 214-nucleotide unclassified non-coding RNA is filed under the name Hevea brasiliensis (rubber tree). Lineage: Eukaryota; Viridiplantae; Streptophyta; Magnoliopsida; Malpighiales; Euphorbiaceae. The record is from RNAcentral.
AACAAAAUAAAAAUACUAACAACACUUGAUCCAAGAAUACUAAAUUAUUAACAACACUCGCAAAAAAAUUAUAUAUAAUACAGUAUUAAUUAUUACUUGUUAUGAAUACAAUAUUCAAGUCAGAAUUUUUAAAUGGUUUUAUACAAAACGUUUAUGUAGAGCAGCAACAAUGCCUUGUGAUCCCAAGACAUGACGAGAAAGUUUACAAGUUGCG